This is a non-coding RNA of Cinara cedri, 206 nucleotides long. The record is from the annotation of a GenBank genome assembly. Lineage: Eukaryota; Metazoa; Arthropoda; Insecta; Hemiptera; Aphididae.
GUUUUUUUGAUCAGCCGUAUACAAAUUAAAUCGAACGGAGUUACAUUUUUCUACCAGCGUAUUUCGUAUUGCAUUUUCACUGUCGUGACGCGGUUCUAGCCCGAAAACAUCGUGCAAUUGCGAAUGAACGAUUCGUCGAGUUGAUGGUAUCUCGCCAUUCUUCGAUUUCGGUAAAGUUCGCGAAAAGAGAAUAAGGACGACAAAAA